GAAACGCGAUAGUUAAUGUGAAUUGCAGAAUUCAGUGAAUCAUCGAGUCUUUGAACGCACAUUGCGCCCAUAGGUAUUCCUUUUGGCAUGUCUGUUUGAGCGUCAUUACAACCCUCAGCUAACCGCUGGUUUUGAACCUGAACGGGUGACACCGCGCCGGUUUUAAAGUUGUAAGCUCUGCUGGCCGCUCUGCCCAACCAGAACAUAGUAAGCACUACUUGUCCGGGUGAAGCUGAACGGUACGGCCUGAACAAAACCUACCCACUCUCAAGGUUUGACCUCAGAUCAGACAAGGAUACCCGCUGAACUUAAGC
RNAcentral lists this unclassified non-coding RNA (314 nucleotides) under plant metagenome. RNAcentral describes it as "partial contains 5.8S ribosomal RNA, internal transcribed spacer 2, and large subunit ribosomal RNA". The stretch from base 1 to 105 matches the Rfam family "5.8S ribosomal RNA", at positions 50 to 154 of the family's 154-position model. The record is from RNAcentral.